GACGAACGCUGGCGGCGUGCCUAACACAUGCAAGUCGAACGGAAAGGCCCUGCCUUUGUGGGCUCCUCGAGUGGCGAACGGGUGAGUAGCACUUAGGUACGCUGCCCUUGCCUUUGGGGUAACUUCAGACAACUGGGGCUAAUACCGGCUAGGAUCUCCUGCUGCUUGGUGGGGCCUGGUAAGUUUCGGCAGUUGGGGAUGGACUCGCGGCUUAUCGGCUUGUUGGUGUGGUAGUGGCUUACCAAGGCUAUGACGGGUAGCCGGCCUGAGAGGGUGACAGGCCCCAGUGGGACUGAGAUGCGGCCCAGACUCCUACGGGAGGCAGCGGUGGGGAAUAUAGCACAAUGCGCGGAAGGAUGGUGCAGCAACGCCGCGUGGGGGAUGUCGGCCUUCGGGUUGGAAACCGCUUUCGCUUGUGACGAAGCGAUAGUGACGGUAACGGGUAAAGAAGCACCGGCUAACUACGUG
This 468-nucleotide ribosomal RNA is filed under the name uncultured bacterium. RNAcentral's name for it is "partial 16S ribosomal RNA". It matches the Rfam family "Bacterial small subunit ribosomal RNA", at positions 28 to 507 of the family's 1533-position model. The record is from RNAcentral.